This 500-nucleotide ribosomal RNA is filed under the name uncultured bacterium. Its description in RNAcentral is "partial 16S ribosomal RNA". It matches the Rfam family "Bacterial small subunit ribosomal RNA", at positions 29 to 523 of the family's 1533-position model. The record is from RNAcentral.
AUUGAACGCUGGCGGCAUGCCUUACACAUGCAAGUCGAACGGCAGCGCGGGAGCAAUCCUGGCGGCGAGUGGCGAACGGGCGAGUAAUAUAUCGGAACGUGCCCCGUAGUGGGGGAUAGCCCGGCGAAAGCCGGAUUAAUACCGCAUACGACCUGAGGGUGAAAGGGGGGGAUCGCAAGACCUCGCGGUAUUGGAGCGGCCGAUAUCAGAUUAGGUAGUUGGUGGGGUAAAGGCCUACCAAGCCUGCGAUCCGUAGUUGGUCUGAGAGGACGACCAGCCACACUGGGACUGAGACACGGCCCAGACUCCUACGGGAGGCAGCAGUGGGGAAUUUUGGACAAUGGGCGCAAGCCUGAUCCAGCAAUGCCGCGUGCAGGAAGAAGGCCUUCGGGUUGUGAACCGCUUUUGUCAGGGAAGAAAUCCCCUAGGCUAAUACCUUGGGGGGAUGACGGUACCUGAAGAAUAAGCACCGGCUAACUACGUGCCAGCCGCCGCGGUAA